AAAAUGACUCUCGGCAACGGAUAUCUCGGCUCUCGCAUCGAUGAGAACGCAGCGAAAUGCGAUACUUGGUGUGAAUUGCAGAAUCCCGUGAACCAUCGAGUCUUUGAACGCAAGUUGCGCCCUAAGCCUUAGGGCUGAGGGCACGUCUGCCUGGGUGUCACG
Molecule: ribosomal RNA, 162 nt
Filed under: Pimelea sericostachya subsp. sericostachya
Lineage: Eukaryota; Viridiplantae; Streptophyta; Magnoliopsida; Malvales; Thymelaeaceae
Description: 5.8S ribosomal RNA
Rfam family: 5.8S ribosomal RNA
About the family: 5.8S ribosomal RNA (5.8S rRNA) is a component of the large subunit of the eukaryotic ribosome. It is transcribed by RNA polymerase I as part of the 45S precursor that also contains 18S and 28S rRNA.
Source: RNAcentral